CAUUAGAAAUGGCGGGGGAAGACUUGCUCUUCUCCCCAAAUCUCUUUUCUGUGCACUGUUUUUGUGUGCUGGGCUAGYUUCGGCUGGGYCAGCACGGGGUGGAGCUUGGAAACUGUUUGYUAUGAAUUUUCCCCCGGGAAAGUUCCGCUGGAAACUUUUGACAUCUCCGCCGAAAUUUAAUACUAAUACUGACUGACCAUGAAAAAGUUAAUAUAACAACUUUCAGCAAUGGAUCUCUCGGCUUUCGUAUCGAUGAAGAACGCAGCGAAUCGCGAUAUGUAGUGUGAUCUGCCUCUAGUGAAUCAUCAAAUCUUUGAACGCAUCUUGCACCCUUUGGUAUUCCAAAGGGUACGCCUGUUUCAGUAUCAUUAUAACCUUUCUCCCCAAGGCUUUUUGGCCAAGGAGGGAAAGAGCAUAACCGGUGGCCCAGCGGUCUCCCRUCAGGGGGAUUGUCUCGGCUGGAAUGACUGUUGCAAUGGYGGGCCAAAUGGUCUUCCGCACUUGAUAAAUGUACUUUUAUAAAGAGCGGGGCCGGUCURCCGAAAGUUGUAACUAAACCCUUUACCUUUGAU
RNAcentral lists this ribosomal RNA (572 nucleotides) under Absidia glauca. RNAcentral describes it as "eukaryotic LSU rRNA". The stretch from base 218 to 368 matches the Rfam family "5.8S ribosomal RNA". The record is from RNAcentral. Lineage: Eukaryota; Fungi; Mucoromycota; Mucoromycetes; Mucorales; Cunninghamellaceae.